CCUGGAAGCGCGAGGCGGGCAUUUCGGAAGAGAGUGGUGCGGCGUGGGGCGCCGCGAGGGCACUACGAGCCCAGGAGCUGCCGCGCCGGGCCGAUUUUCCGCGGCUGUAUAAGGACUAGCGCUUCGGUAGCCGGGGAGCUGGAGGGAACCUGAUUUGAGAUCAAUUCUUGGAGAACACAAAGAAGUGUGAUGGGUUGAACCAGCUGCCCUUUGACCCUGCUAACAACAACGAGCCCCUGCAGUUUGGUAGUGCCAGUGGCCCUCUGGUCACAGAAGGCCUCAUUGAGAAUGGAGGGGAAUCAAGCAAGAAAAGAAAGAGAACAAAUACUCCUUCAGAAAUGAUGACAGAGCUAAGUUCACAGUUCAGGACCAUACAAUGCAAAGAGAUUUUAGAUGGCUGUGGGUCUAUGAAAUAGGCUAUGCAGCCGAUAACAGUAGAACUCUGAACGUGGACUCCACUGCAAUGACACUACCUAUGUCUGAUCCAACUGCAUGGGCCACAGCAAUGAAUAAUCUUGGAAUGGCACCGCUGGGAAUUGCCGGACAACCAAUUUUACCUGACUUUGAUCCUGCUCUUGGAAUGAUGACUGGAAUUCCACCAAUAACUCCAAUGAUGCCUGGUUUGGGAAUAGUACCUCCACCAAUUCCUCCAGAUAUGCCAGUAGUAAAAGAGAUCAUACACUGUAAAAGCUGCACGCUCUUCCCUCCAAAUCCAAAUCUCCCACCUCCUGCAACCCGAGAAAGACCACCAGGAUGCAAAACAGUAUUUGUGGGUGGUCUGCCUGAAAAUGGGACAGAGCAAAUCAUCGUGGAAGUUUU
RNAcentral lists this small RNA (819 nucleotides) under Pongo abelii (Sumatran orangutan). RNAcentral describes it as "processed transcript". The record is from RNAcentral. Lineage: Eukaryota; Metazoa; Chordata; Mammalia; Primates; Hominidae.